Molecule: long non-coding RNA, 834 nt
Organism: Folsomia candida
Lineage: Eukaryota; Metazoa; Arthropoda; Collembola; Entomobryomorpha; Isotomidae
Exons: 2
Source: RefSeq, a predicted model, not a curated record
GUCCUAAAAUUCGCUGCGUCUACUUCCCAAAUAAUCACAAAAUUUAGUAAAUCCCAUGCUUGUGGCAGUUUUUUUUAAAAUCGCCUAAGCGCUACUUUCACAAUAUUAAAUUUUUACUUGUAUGUAGUUUAUGCAUUGGCGAGAGAUAGUUUCACUUCAUUUUUAGAAGGUUAACUAAAACAAGGGAAAGUUUGGAAGAAAAAAUGGAUGAAAAAUAGGAUCCAGAAGUUCUCGAAAUGUCGUCCAGCCUUUACGAGAACUGGACGGUAGCUACUAUAGAACGUGAUCUACAACCGGAAGUUAGCACCACGCUACCGGACUUUGAUCCCCCAAUUCGAACCAGAAUAUCGACACCAUUCAGAUGUGUUGCAUGUAUAGGGAAAACUUGCGUUAUUUUCUUCCUCCUAGGCCUGAUAGUUGGAAUAUUCGCCCUGCCAAUUUCGAUGAUUGUCGUCGGCUGGAAACACGUCGAUGAGUGUCCAGCCGAAGAAUUGCCGAUUAUUUUGAUGGUCGGUGGACUUAUAUUUCUCAUCCAAAUAAUUGUAAUCCCCUGUUUUAAAAAAGACGGGGGAAAAUAUAUCACUGGGUUUGUGGCACUGGUAGAACUUGGUUGGUUACUUGCCGCCGCGGUAUUGCUUUAUAGAACUGAUUUUGUCACAGAUGAUUUACAAAAUCCUAAUUAUUGUCGACCUGUCGUUUAUUAUUUUACCUGGUGGAUGGUCAGUAUAAUAAUUGGGUGCAGUGGGGUAACUAUAAUGAUGGUAUUAUGUGUGACAUACCGUGAAAAAUGCAAAAGAUUUUGUGAAUAAAUGUAUGUAUUUAUGUUGGUAUGAA